GGGCCCUCUGGGUCCAACCUCCCACCCGUGUCUAUCGUACCUUGUUGCUUCGGCGGGCCCGCCGUUUCGACGGCCGCCGGGGAGGCCUUGCGCCCCCGGGCCCGCGCCCGCCGAAGACCCCAACAUGAACGCUGUUCUGAAAGUAUGCAGUCUGAGUUGAUUAUCGUAAUCAGUUAAAACUUUCAACAACGGAUCUCUUGGUUCCGGCAUCGAUGAAGAACGCAGCGAAAUGCGAUAAGUAAUGUGAAUUGCAGAAUUCAGUGAAUCAUCGAGUCUUUGAACGCACAUUGCGCCCCCUGGUAUUCCGGGGGGCAUGCCUGUCCGAGCGUCAUUGCUGCCCUCAAGCACGGCUUGUGUGUUGGGCCCCCGUCCCCCUCUCCCGGGGGACGGGCCCGAAAGGCAGCGGCGGCACCGCGUCCGGUCCUCGAGCGUAUGGGGCUUUGUCACCUGCUCUGUAGGCCCGGCCGGCGCCAGCCGACACCCAACUUUAUUUUUCUAAGGUUGACCUCGGAUCAGGUAGGGAUACCCGCUGAACUUAAGCAUAUCAAUAAGCGGAGGAAAAGAAACCAACAGGGAUUGCCUCAGUAACGGCGAGUGAAGCGGCAAGAGCUCAAAUUUGAAAGCUGGCCCCUUCGGGGUCCGCGUUGUAAUUUGCAGAGGAUGCUUCGGGUGCAGCCCCCGUCUAAGUGCCCUGGAACGGGCCGUCAUAGAGGGUGAGAAUCCCGUCUGGGACGGGGUGUCUGCGUCCGUGUGAAGCUCCUUCGACGAGUCGAGUUGUUUGGGAAUGCAGCUCUAAAUGGGUGGUAAAUUUCAUCUAAAGCUAAAUACUGGCCGGAGACCGAUAGCGCACAAGUAGAGUGAUCGAAAGAUGAAAAGCACUUUGAAAAGAGAGUUAAACAGCACGUGAAAUUGUUGAAAGGGAAGCGUUUGCGACCAGACUCGCCCGCGGGGUUCAGCCGGCAUUCGUGCCGGUGUACUUCCCCGUGGGCGGGCCAGCGUCGGUUUGGGCGGCCGGUCAAAGGCCCUCGGAAUGUAUCACCUCUCGGGGUGUCUUAUAGCCGAGGGUGCAAUGCGGCCUGCCUGGACCGA
RNAcentral lists this ribosomal RNA (1089 nucleotides) under Eurotiomycetes sp. genotype 108. RNAcentral's name for it is "eukaryotic LSU rRNA". The stretch from base 503 to 1089 matches the Rfam family "Eukaryotic large subunit ribosomal RNA", at positions 1 to 592 of the family's 3401-position model. Lineage: Eukaryota; Fungi; Ascomycota; Eurotiomycetes. The record is from RNAcentral.